GGGUUAAGUCCCGCAACGAGCGCAACCCUUGCCUUUAGUUGCCAGCAGUUCGGGCUGGGCACUCUAAAGGGACUGCCGGGUGUUAAACCGGAGGAAGGUGGGGAUGACGUCAAGUCCUCAUGGCCUUUAUGACCAGGGCUACACACGUACUACAAUGGCCGAUACAAAGGGCAGCGACACUGCGAGGUGAAGCCAAUCCCGUAAAAUCGGUCUCAGUCCGGAUUGGAGUCUGCAACUCGACUCCAUGAAGUUGGAAUCGCUAGUAAUCGUGGAUCAGCAUGCCACGGUGAAUACGUUCCCGGGCCUU
This 307-nucleotide ribosomal RNA is filed under the name uncultured Desulfobulbus sp. RNAcentral describes it as "bacterial SSU rRNA". It matches the Rfam family "Bacterial small subunit ribosomal RNA", at positions 1077 to 1382 of the family's 1533-position model. Lineage: Bacteria; Pseudomonadati; Thermodesulfobacteriota; Desulfobulbia; Desulfobulbales; Desulfobulbaceae. The record is from RNAcentral.